GGGGAAUAUUGGACAAUGGACGAAAGUCUGAUCCAGCGACGCCGCGUGGAGGAAGAAGUCCUUCGGGAUGUAAACUCAUGAAGCUAACGAAUAAGACGGAAGGGGAACCUUCCGGGAGAAGGUAAUUAGUGAACAGCCCCGGCUAACUACGUGCCAGCAGCCGCGGUAAUACGUAGGGGGCGAGCGUUAUCCGGAUUUACUGGGCGUAAAGGGUGCGUAGGUGGUUUCUUAAGUCAGGAGUGAAAGGCUACGGCUCAACCGUAGUAAGCUCUUGAAACUGGGAAACUUGAGUGCAGGAGAGGAAAGUGGAAUUCCUAGUGUAGCGGUGAAAUGCGUAGAUAUUAGGAGGAACACCGGUGGCGAAGGCGGCUUGCUGGACAAAUACUGACGCUGAGGUGCGAAAGCGUGGGGAGCAAACA
Molecule: ribosomal RNA, 419 nt
Filed under: uncultured Bacillota bacterium
Lineage: Bacteria; Bacillati; Bacillota
Description: bacterial SSU rRNA
Rfam family: Bacterial small subunit ribosomal RNA
Source: RNAcentral